Molecule: non-coding RNA, 112 nt
Organism: Acanthosepion pharaonis
Lineage: Eukaryota; Metazoa; Mollusca; Cephalopoda; Sepiida; Sepiidae
Source: the annotation of a GenBank genome assembly
UUACGGCCAUAUCGCGUCGAAACAUCAGUUCCCCUACGAUCACCGAAGUUAAGCAACGACGUGCCUGAUCAGUAAGGAGAUCGGUAACCGCUUGGAAAUACCAGGUGGUGUA